AAGAUUCAUCUCAAACUUCCCUUCAACUUUCUCCAGUGAGUGCUAAUUGUGUUCUUGUUGUCAACCAGUUCUUGUCCUUGUCACUGUAGGUUCAGCAGCUGCAAAGGUGAAAUGUUUUGACAAAUAUCAAAUGUCAUACAUUUUAUACUGUGGAUCAGCAUGGAUGUUUUUUAGCUUCUUCAGAUGGUUCUGUAAUGGAGUUAUAUUUGGAAGUCUCCCAGUAUGGUGCAAAAGCCUCAUAGAGAGAGGAAGUUUAUAAACUGAAAUUCUACAAGAAGAAGAAAGGCCAGCUGCUCAUUCUGUAUGAUUCCUCCUUGAGCUUUUGUAUUUUCCCAGCCAGACCUUUCAAGCUCCCUAUUUAUGAAUUUAUCUUCAUACUGAUUGGUGACAAAGAUUGGCCAGCAUAUUUUCACUCUGUGGAUAGAAGCUGCUUAAAGACUGAGAUAACAUAUCAAUGAAAAAAGAUAAAACCUGACAAUAAGGGAAUAUGAGGGGAAAGGGGUAGACUUGACUGUGGUUCUGCCAGUCAUAA
RNAcentral lists this long non-coding RNA (532 nucleotides) under Lynx pardinus (Iberian lynx). The record is from RNAcentral. Lineage: Eukaryota; Metazoa; Chordata; Mammalia; Carnivora; Felidae.